Molecule: unclassified non-coding RNA, 146 nt
Filed under: soil metagenome
Description: partial internal transcribed spacer 1
Source: RNAcentral
UAAUAAGUGUUUUAUGGCACUUUUUAAAUCCAUAUCCACCUUGUGUGCAAUGACGGUCGAUCUUCUUCUAUGAGGAUUGACCAAACAUCAACCUUUAUCUUUUAACUCUUUGUCUGAAAAAUAUUAUGAAUAAACAAUUCAAAAUA